UCAGAAGAGGCUACUACUAGCUAUCUAGCUUCAUGUUUAACUCUUCUUGGUUUGUGUUUUUGUGUGCUUGUUGGAGUUGUUAGGAGGAAGAGAGGGGUGAGAGGUGAGGCUGACAGAAGAGAGUGAGCACACAUGGUGACUUUCUUGCAUGCUGAAUGGACUCAUGCUUGAAGCUAUGUGUGCUCAUUUCUCUCUCUGUCAGCCAUUUGAUCUCUCUUUCUCUCUUUCUCCCUCAUGUGUUAUACUGUUCUCUCAUAUCUUCUUCUUUGAGGUAGUAAUAUACUUGAGCAAAUUAAGCUGCUUAAUUAUUUGUGUAUGAUGAUCAGCUGCUGAUCCGGCCUCAUUUCUUGCAUAUAUGAGAUCAGUUUCAACCACAACCACAUACAUGCUUGUUCAUUUUUUUUCACAAAGAAAGAGAACAGUUUAAUUUAAUUUCUUGGGGUUUUUGGAUCAGUUAAUUUGUCUUGAGAGGGGAAGGGAUCUCUAUGGGUUUUGGAGGUCUGACAGAAGAGAGUGAGCACACACGGUGCUUUCUUAGCAUGCAAGAGCCAUGCUGGGAGCUGUGCGUGCUCACUCUCUAUCUGUCAGCCGUUCACCAUGCCCAAUAUGAUUAAUCUCCUUCUCUCAGUUGACAGUAAUUUCUUUGCCAGAUCUCCUGUUAAAUUUUCUGCCUAGCUAGCUAUUAUGCACAUGCUUAUUAUGAUGAGCCUGCCAAUAUCGUCUCCACGGCAAAACACAAACUAGCUAUGAUUUGAUUCAUUAUAUUUCUUUUCGCUGUUUAAUUAAUUAUAUGCAG
Molecule: precursor RNA, 796 nt
Filed under: Oryza rufipogon (brownbeard rice)
Lineage: Eukaryota; Viridiplantae; Streptophyta; Magnoliopsida; Poales; Poaceae
Description: putative precursor microRNA R156bc
Rfam family: mir-156 microRNA precursor family (bases 501-588)
Source: RNAcentral